AUUGAACGCUGGCGGAAUGCUUUACACAUGCAAGUCGAGCGGCAGCGCGGCCUUCGGGCUGGCGGCGAGCGGCGAACGGGUGAGUAAUGCAUCGGAACAUGCCCAGUCGUGGGGGAUAACACUUCGAAAGAAGUGCUAAUACCGCAUACGUCCUGAGGGGGAAAGCGGGGGAUCGCAAGACCUCGCGCGAUUGGAGUGGCCGAUGUCAGAUUAGCUAGUUGGUGGGGUAAAGGCCUACCAAGGCGGCGAUCUGUAGCUGGUCUGAGAGGCUGAUCAGCCACACUGGGACUGAGACACGGCCCAGACUACUACGGGAGGCAGCAGUGGGGAAUUUUGGACAAUGGGGGCAACCCUGAUCCAGCCAUCCCGCGUGAGUGAAGAAGGCCUUCGGGUUGUAAAGCUCUUUCGGCAGGAACGAAACGGUGGGCUCUAACAUAGUCCGCUAAUGACGGUACCUGAAGAAGAAGCACCGGCUAACUACGUG
This 484-nucleotide ribosomal RNA is filed under the name uncultured bacterium. RNAcentral's name for it is "partial 16S ribosomal RNA". It matches the Rfam family "Bacterial small subunit ribosomal RNA", at positions 29 to 507 of the family's 1533-position model. The record is from RNAcentral.